This 2921-nucleotide ribosomal RNA is filed under the name Staphylococcus aureus M1311. RNAcentral's name for it is "bacterial LSU rRNA". It matches the Rfam family "Bacterial large subunit ribosomal RNA". RNAcentral also lists the same sequence under 7 other names. The record is from RNAcentral. Lineage: Bacteria; Bacillati; Bacillota; Bacilli; Caryophanales; Staphylococcaceae.
UUAAGUUAUUAAGGGCGCACGGUGGAUGCCUUGGCACUAGAAGCCGAUGAAGGACGUUACUAACGACGAUAUGCUUUGGGGAGCUGUAAGUAAGCUUUGAUCCAGAGAUUUCCGAAUGGGGAAACCCAGCAUGAGUUAUGUCAUGUUAUCGAUAUGUGAAUACAUAGCAUAUCAGAAGGCACACCCGGAGAACUGAAACAUCUUAGUACCCGGAGGAAGAGAAAGAAAAUUCGAUUCCCUUAGUAGCGGCGAGCGAAACGGGAAGAGCCCAAACCAACAAGCUUGCUUGUUGGGGUUGUAGGACACUCUAUACGGAGUUACAAAGGACGACAUUAGACGAAUCAUCUGGAAAGAUGAAUCAAAGAAGGUAAUAAUCCUGUAGUCGAAAAUGUUGUCUCUCUUGAGUGGAUCCUGAGUACGACGGAGCACGUGAAAUUCCGUCGGAAUCUGGGAGGACCAUCUCCUAAGGCUAAAUACUCUCUAGUGACCGAUAGUGAACCAGUACCGUGAGGGAAAGGUGAAAAGCACCCCGGAAGGGGAGUGAAAUAGAACCUGAAACCGUGUGCUUACAAGUAGUCAGAGCCCGUUAAUGGGUGAUGGCGUGCCUUUUGUAGAAUGAACCGGCGAGUUACGAUUUGAUGCAAGGUUAAGCAGUAAAUGUGGAGCCGUAGCGAAAGCGAGUCUGAAUAGGGCGUUUAGUAUUUGGUCGUAGACCCGAAACCAGGUGAUCUACCCUUGGUCAGGUUGAAGUUCAGGUAACACUGAAUGGAGGACCGAACCGACUUACGUUGAAAAGUGAGCGGAUGAACUGAGGGUAGCGGAGAAAUUCCAAUCGAACCUGGAGAUAGCUGGUUCUCUCCGAAAUAGCUUUAGGGCUAGCCUCAAGUGAUGAUUAUUGGAGGUAGAGCACUGUUUGGACGAGGGGCCCCUCUCGGGUUACCGAAUUCAGACAAACUCCGAAUGCCAAUUAAUUUAACUUGGGAGUCAGAACAUGGGUGAUAAGGUCCGUGUUCGAAAGGGAAACAGCCCAGACCACCAGCUAAGGUCCCAAAAUAUAUGUUAAGUGGAAAAGGAUGUGGCGUUGCCCAGACAACUAGGAUGUUGGCUUAGAAGCAGCCAUCAUUUAAAGAGUGCGUAAUAGCUCACUAGUCGAGUGACACUGCGCCGAAAAUGUACCGGGGCUAAACAUAUUACCGAAGCUGUGGAUUGUCCUUUGGACAAUGGUAGGAGAGCGUUCUAAGGGCGUUGAAGCAUGAUCGUAAGGACAUGUGGAGCGCUUAGAAGUGAGAAUGCCGGUGUGAGUAGCGAAAGACGGGUGAGAAUCCCGUCCACCGAUUGACUAAGGUUUCCAGAGGAAGGCUCGUCCGCUCUGGGUUAGUCGGGUCCUAAGCUGAGGCCGACAGGCGUAGGCGAUGGAUAACAGGUUGAUAUUCCUGUACCACCUAUAAUCGUUUUAAUCGAUGGGGGGACGCAGUAGGAUAGGCGAAGCGUGCGAUUGGAUUGCACGUCUAAGCAGUAAGGCUGAGUAUUAGGCAAAUCCGGUACUCGUUAAGGCUGAGCUGUGAUGGGGAGAAGACAUUGUGUCUUCGAGUCGUUGAUUUCACACUGCCGAGAAAAGCCUCUAGAUAGAAAAUAGGUGCCCGUACCGCAAACCGACACAGGUAGUCAAGAUGAGAAUUCUAAGGUGAGCGAGCGAACUCUCGUUAAGGAACUCGGCAAAAUGACCCCGUAACUUCGGGAGAAGGGGUGCUCUUUAGGGUUAACGCCCAGAAGAGCCGCAGUGAAUAGGCCCAAGCGACUGUUUAUCAAAAACACAGGUCUCUGCUAAACCGUAAGGUGAUGUAUAGGGGCUGACGCCUGCCCGGUGCUGGAAGGUUAAGAGGAGUGGUUAGCUUCUGCGAAGCUACGAAUCGAAGCCCCAGUAAACGGCGGCCGUAACUAUAACGGUCCUAAGGUAGCGAAAUUCCUUGUCGGGUAAGUUCCGACCCGCACGAAAGGCGUAACGAUUUGGGCACUGUCUCAACGAGAGACUCGGUGAAAUCAUAGUACCUGUGAAGAUGCAGGUUACCCGCGACAGGACGGAAAGACCCCGUGGAGCUUUACUGUAGCCUGAUAUUGAAAUUCGGCACAGCUUGUACAGGAUAGGUAGGAGCCUUUGAAACGUGAGCGCUAGCUUACGUGGAGGCGCUGGUGGGAUACUACCCUAGCUGUGUUGGCUUUCUAACCCGCACCACUUAUCGUGGUGGGAGACAGUGUCAGGCGGGCAGUUUGACUGGGGCGGUCGCCUCCUAAAAGGUAACGGAGGCGCUCAAAGGUUCCCUCAGAAUGGUUGGAAAUCAUUCAUAGAGUGUAAAGGCAUAAGGGAGCUUGACUGCGAGACCUACAAGUCGAGCAGGGUCGAAAGACGGACUUAGUGAUCCGGUGGUUCCGCAUGGAAGGGCCAUCGCUCAACGGAUAAAAGCUACCCCGGGGAUAACAGGCUUAUCUCCCCCAAGAGUUCACAUCGACGGGGAGGUUUGGCACCUCGAUGUCGGCUCAUCGCAUCCUGGGGCUGUAGUCGGUCCCAAGGGUUGGGCUGUUCGCCCAUUAAAGCGGUACGCGAGCUGGGUUCAGAACGUCGUGAGACAGUUCGGUCCCUAUCCGUCGUGGGCGUAGGAAAUUUGAGAGGAGCUGUCCUUAGUACGAGAGGACCGGGAUGGACAUACCUCUGGUGUACCAGUUGUCGUGCCAACGGCAUAGCUGGGUAGCUAUGUGUGGACGGGAUAAGUGCUGAAAGCAUCUAAGCAUGAAGCCCCCCUCAAGAUGAGAUUUCCCAACUUCGGUUAUAAGAUCCCUCAAAGAUGAUGAGGUUAAUAGGUUCGAGGUGGAAGUAUGGUGACAUGUGGAGCUGACGAAUACUAAUCGAUCGAAGACUUAAUCAA